RNA transcript from Ornithodoros turicata, 5337 nucleotides. It is a transcript of the gene named cyclin-D-binding Myb-like transcription factor 1, with no coding region annotated. The record is from RefSeq and is a predicted model, not a curated record. Lineage: Eukaryota; Metazoa; Arthropoda; Arachnida; Ixodida; Argasidae. The transcript is spliced from 2 exons.
GCAACGUCGGCGAAGUCGUUUGGGCUGUCUCUUGAUGUACGAAAUGAUCGCAACCAAGAAGUCAGCCCUUUGCUGCUUGUGUUUUGGCUGUCCAUACUAAAACGAGAAAAGAAAAAGACGAUGGAAAAUUUUAGGCAAGCUCUAAAGGCCGUCUUCGUAAAGGUUAUAUACUAUGAACAGACAUGACUACAAUUCUUCACAGUAUGCUUGCCUUCUUACUCAUUUGCUGGUGCUGGUAAACAAACCCCAUCUGUCAGUGCACCUGCCGACACUUAUCUCACCUGUCCCCAAUGUUUAUGCUUUCCGCAUCCGUGCGCGGAAACAGGUGCAGGACUUCAUGCUUUCAUGCGAUCCGCGUAGUGUCUUCUCAAACAGACUACGGGAGAACGUCCAGCAAAGAUGACAGUAGCUUCACAGUCAAUCCCAUUUUCAGAAUGGAAAGCAUCGAAGAGAUAAAAGCGGAAAAACUUCCUAGAGGCAGCUCAAACGCUGCUCAAAACAUUCAAACCUUUCAAACCAUCUAGCGAAGCGCGCAAUUGGUCAGAUUGGUCAGGUGACCGUGCCGUAGCAAGGUGACCGUGGCGUGGCCAGGUUGUAAGCAAACAAAAUCAAGCGUUAUCAUGUUUUGCUUUUGGCAAUCGGAAAACACAAUGCGUAAGAGAAGGUUUGACAAAAUACAAACAUAUCACAACGCUUAUGACGCUUAUGAAGGCUCAAGAGAUGUGGCAGCAUCGCCAAAAAUCAAAAAUAAAACUUAGUUUCACUUGGCUUGGCAUGGCUUGAAUUUUGGCGAGUCUACUAUAGCCUAUAGCAGAGUCGAUAGCCCUUUGGAGUUGUCUUCCCAAAUGAUUCAACGUUUUCACGCACGUGCUCUGCAUGGCGUGUGUUGUGUUUUAAAACCUAUCACCGGAAGGACCGAGCGAUCCCAUGUAGAAUGGUGAAAUGCAGUUUGCGACAACCGCAAAAUGUACGGUCGCAUUGUGUAUAUGCCUUCGUGUAGCUACGCUGUAGCCUGUCACGCAGCAUCAAACGUUAUCGUGAGUGAUUUUGUGUUUCCUUUACAAGACUCUGUCCGUUGAAUACCUCCAGCAAUAAGCAACCGAAGACCAGAGGGACACGGAUCUUCAAAAAGCACGAAAGAAGUGCUUGGAACGUCUCGAAUAUGCCAUGGAGGUACCAUCAGAUGUAGAGCACAACUUCACCGAAUUCGACGGAGCGUAUUUUCAGACAUUCAACCUAUUUAAACCCAGAUUGAAAAAGCGUGAAAAAGAGAACCACGGAGCAGGGAACUGUGGUGACGCUGAGCGCCCAGCAAAAAAGGGUACAAAGCACAAGAAACAACACCCAGGGACUCAAGGUGACAUCGGCGUAGAAUAUUCGAAAAGAAAGAACCCCAAAGAAUACCACGAAGCACAAGACGAUGAAAACGUCUCAGAAACAGAGAUCUCUGGGAAGAAGAAAAAAGGCCAGAAGAAAGAUUACACAGGUAUCCCUGUAUUGGGGGAGCAAGACGCCAGCGUGGAGCACCGCAAAGAAGCGACAGAUAAGUUUAAAAGUUCCGAAGGGAACAUUCACACACCAGUGCUCGAACACGAAGCAUGUCAGGCCGAACAUUCUAAGCCUCAUAAGAGAAAGAAGCACGACGUAAACAGUGUGAAUGAACCAUCUGUGUGUGAACGUGGGGUAAGCGCACCGUGCUCGCAAGACGAUAUCGCGUUUCUUUUUUCUAGAGAAGGGACGCAACACUCCGAGUCGCUUUUAAUGCCGAAGCACAGGAAAAGGAAAAAGCAUUGUCACAGUGGAAAGGGUGAUGUGCAGCAAAUCCCUCUCUUUGCUUUGGGUGAUGAGGUUUCAGAGACGAAAAUCGGGAACGAUACUUGUGUCCCUGAAAGCACGCUGGGCUUCUCCGUCCCAAAUAUCCUCGAUGAUGUCGACGUUUCUUCGAGCCACGAAUGCAGUGCAACCGGGCUGCGAAACGAACCACUGCAAAUAAAUUUUGAAAGCAUGCCAACGCCAAGUCCGGUACAAGAGGGCGCAUCCACAUCGGAAUCUACGCUUUACCAUCGUAGCAGCGAAAAGCUGGAAAGCAUUCUUGGUGACCGAAGCAUGUCGCAGUUACAUUCCAGUUGUAGCCAUGCUUCUGGCAGUGAAAAAAGUGACGCGUCUGUCAUCCACGGAACCAAGCAUAAAAGGAAGAGGCGCGGACGUGGCGAGACAUUCGACGGUGGUUCUGCAGAUUUGGAAGACGUUCUUUCCUUCCGAGGCUGUACAUACGACGCAGAACAAAACGACAGCAGUAUUAGCGUCAGUGGAAAUAACGCGGUUUACGGUUCGUCCCAGGGUUUUAUCGUGUCCUCUGGGGGCUUCGAUGUGGACGUAUCGCCUUUUAAGCACCCGGACGAUCCUAAGCCAGGAGAGGUGAUAUUGCGCACCCAUAACAAGCUGCAGCAUCUCGAUUUGUCCUGCAAGGAAGUUUCUGUCGGGACGUUUUCGUCGGAACAUUCCUCGCCUUCGUCCGGUUGGAGUAGACACGUCGGCGGAAAAACGUGCGCUCGCAGAGACAAUUCGCUAAGCCUGGAUUUGAGUGAAAAGUUUGACGUUACCAGCAAGCAAAGUAGCGUAGCUGCGUACCCGCGAGAGUCUUCUGGCGCAGCGGAACGUGUCGGGGAACAGCAAAGAGAGGAAAAGGAACCCGGAAAGGUGCCGCUCGGCUAUCGGAGUCCCUCAAUCCAAGGCACGCGUUCGGGCGAAUCGGAGGACGUCGACUUGUUUGCGGAUAUUUUGUCACCGCCAAUUCUUUCUCCUCGUAAGCCAAAGAAAAAGAAGUACAGAGUGUGUGAUGGCGUUGGGCCUGCAGUAGAGCUUAACCCACACGGAGAUGGUUUGGCUGGGAAGCAAUGUUCAUAUGCAGAGGACAAUGAAGGAGAUCUUGACGCAGAAAAGCGGGAUGGCAACUGGCCCACGACUGAGUCUAGCCUGCGAAAAGAUUCCUUGACUCAUCAUCAUCCCAAGAAGAAAAGUAAAAAACACAAAAAACGGUUGAGCUUGGACAAGGAAUGUCCUAUCUUACAAGAGGAUAAAGGAGAACGAUGUUUGUAUGCUGAGGACAACGAUGGAGGUCUUGAAGCAGAAAAGUGUGAUGGCAACUGGCCCACGAUAGAGUUUAGCCUACAAAAAGACCCCUUGACUCGUCAGUGUCCAAAGAAAAAAAGUAAAAAGCACAAAAAAAGGUCUAGCUCUAACGAGGAAUGUCCUAUUUUACAAGAGGAUAAAGGAGAACAAUGUUUGUAUGCUGAGCACAACGAAGGAGGUCUUGAGGCAGAAAAGUGUGAUGGCAACUGGCCCACAGCUGAGUUUAGCCUGCAAAAAGAUUCCUUGACUAGUCAGCGUCCCAAGAAGAAAACUAAAAAGCACAAAAAACAGUCUAGCUUGAAUGAGGAAUGCCCUAUUUUACAAGAAGAUAAAGGAAAACAAUGUUCUUAUUCAGAGGACAACAAAGGAGGUCCUUGAGACAGAAAAGUGUGAUGGCGACUGGCCCACAAUUGAGUUUAGCUCGCAAAAGCAUUCCUUGACUCAUCAGCGUCCCAAGAAGAAAAGUAAAAAGCACAAAAAGAAGUCUAGCUUUAAUGAGGAAUGUCCUGUUUUACAAGAGGAUAAAGGAGAACAAUGUUUGUAUGCUGAGCACAACGAAGGAGGUCUUGAGGCAGAAAAGUGUGAUGGCAACUGGCCCACAGCUGAGUUUUAGCCUGCAAAAAGAUUCCUUGACUAGUCAGCGUCCCAAGAAGAAAACUAAAAAGCGCAAAAAACAGUCUAGCUUGAAUGAGGAAUGCCCUAUUUUACAAGAAGAUAAAGGAAAACAAUGUUCUUAUUCAGAGGACAACAAAGGAGGUCUUGAGACAGAAAAGUGUGAUGGCGACUGGCCCACAUUGAGUUUAGCUCGCAAAAGCAUUCCUUGACUCAUCAGCGUCCCAAGAAGAAAAGUAAAAAGCACAAAAAGAAGUCUAGCUUUAAUGAGGAAUGUCCUGUUUUACAAGAGGAUAAAGAAAAGCAAUGUUCGUAUGCAGAGGUCAACGAAAGAGGUCGUGAUGCAGAAAAGUGUGAUGGCAACUUGCCCACGACUGAGUUUAGCCUCCAGAAAGAUUCCUUGGCUCAUCAGCAUCCCAAGAAAAAAAGCAAGAAGCACAAAAAACGGUCUAGCAUGAAUAAGGAACGUUCUAUACUACAAGAGGAUAAAGGAAAACAAUGUUCAUAUGCAGAGCAAAAUAAAGGAGGUCUUGACACAGAAAAGCAUUAUGGCAACUCGCCCACAGUUGAGUUUAUUCUGCAAAAGGAUUCCUUGACUCCUCAGCAUUUCAAGAAAAAAAGUAAAAAGCACAAAAAACGGUCUACCAUGAACAAGGAACAUUCUAUUUUACAAGAGGAAAAAGGAAAACAAUGUUCAUAUGCAGGAGACAACGAAGGAGGUCUUGACGCAGAAAAGUGUGAUGGCAACCAGCCAACAAUUGAGUUUAGCCUGCUAAAGGAUUCUUCAAUUCAUCAACAUCCUAAGAAAAAAAGUAAAAAGCACAAAAAGCAGUCUAGCUUUACCGAGGGAAGUCCUAUAGUACAAGAGGAUAAACAAGAACAUUGCUCAUAUGCAGAGGAAAAUGAAGGAGGUCUUGACGCAGAAGCACACUCGGGGAUUCCCGAAGAUAGCGUCAAGACCCAGAACUGGUCAUGCAGGUACUGUCUCAGUACUUUGGCAAAAAUUUGGACGGUAGCGAUGUUCCAAAUGAAUGUCCCAAGGAACAUAAAAGGAAGUCACAAAAGAAGCACCGUAAAGACUCCGCGGAGAAGAAAACUCCCACUCUGCAGCCCUCACUGCAACCCCAGAGCCAGCAACGCACCAUUGCCAAGAGUGACAACGGCACAGUCUCUAGUCAGCGUCGCAAGAAAAGCCAAGAAAAGCCUCACGGAAGUCACCAGAAGGAUGAUAGAGGGGAGAAGUUGUCUGCCGACCAUACAGCACAAAAUGCGUUGUGUUCCGAGUUGUCGACUCAUGACAGCAGUGCUCCGAGUCCCCGUGAGGCGCAAAGCCCGAAAAACUCUGUGGAACCCCGCCAGACUGCCAGUAGAAAGACGGCGCUGCCGACUGAACGAUCAGCACAAGCUCCAGAGCCCUUGAUGAAUGAUUCCGAUGCAGCACUCUUUUCUGAGGAUGACAGUUCGAACGAAGAGGUAUCUUGGGCGUUGCUCAACUCAAACAAAGGUUCACUCAAAGAUAGCAGCAGCCAUGAUGCUGACCUAUCACAUGUCCCACGAUGAGCGACCAGGAUCCCCUGUGGACCACAGUUUUAU